UGCGUAGGUGGCAGGGUAAGUCGGAUGUGAAAUCUCCGAGCUCAACUCGGAAAUGGCAUUGGAAACUACCCAGCUAGAGGGUCGGAGGGGGACUGGAAUUCUCGGUGUAGCAGUGAAAUGCGUAGAUAUCGAGAGGAACACCAGUGGCGAAGGCGAGUCCCUGGACGACUCCUGACACUGAGGCACGAAAGCUAGGGAGCAAACA
This 205-nucleotide ribosomal RNA is filed under the name uncultured bacterium. RNAcentral's name for it is "partial 16S ribosomal RNA". It matches the Rfam family "Bacterial small subunit ribosomal RNA", at positions 568 to 774 of the family's 1533-position model. The record is from RNAcentral.